UACGAAGGGGGCUAGCGUUGCUCGGAAUCACUGGGCGUAAAGCGCACGUAGGCGGCUUCUUAAGUCAGGGGUGAAAUCCUGGAGCUCAACUCCAGAACUGCCUUUGAUACUGAGAAGCUUGAGUCCGGGAGAGGUGAGUGGAACUGCGAGUGUAGAGGUGAAAUUCGUAGAUAUUGGGAAGAACACCAGUGGCGAAGGCGGCUAACUGGUCCGGUACUGACGCUGAGGUGCGAAAGCGUGGGGAGCAAACAGG
Molecule: ribosomal RNA, 253 nt
Filed under: uncultured bacterium
Lineage: Bacteria
Description: partial 16S ribosomal RNA
Rfam family: Bacterial small subunit ribosomal RNA
Source: RNAcentral